UACAUAGGUGGCAAGCGUUGUCCGGAUUUACUGGGCGUAAAGAGCGCGCAGGCGGUCGUUCAAGUCGCGUGUGAAAGCCCCCGGCUCAACUGGGGAGGGUCACGCGAUACUGAUCGACUCGAAGGCAGGAGAGGGUAGUGGAAUUCCCGGUGUAGUGGUGAAAUGCGUAGAUAUCGGGAGGAACACCAGUGGCGAAGGCGACUACCUGGCCUGUUCUUGACGCUGAGGCGCGAAAGCUAGGGGAGCAAACAGG
RNAcentral lists this ribosomal RNA (253 nucleotides) under uncultured bacterium. Its description in RNAcentral is "partial 16S ribosomal RNA". It matches the Rfam family "Bacterial small subunit ribosomal RNA", at positions 524 to 776 of the family's 1533-position model. The record is from RNAcentral.